AGAGUUUGAUUCUGGCUCAGAAUGAACGCUGGCGGCGUGGAUAAGACAUGCAAGUCGAACGGAAAUAUGAUUAGUUUACUAAGAUUAUUUUAGUGGCGGACGGGUUAGUAACACGUGAGCAACUUACCUCAAAGUGGGGGAUAGCCUUCCGAAAGGAAGAUUAAUACCGCAUGUGGUCUCCGGACCAAAGACUGCUUCGGCAGUCGCUUUGAGAUAGGCUCGCGUCCUAUCAGUUAGUUGGUGAGGUAAUGGCUCACCAAGACUACGACGGGUAGCUGUUCUGAGAGGAAGAUCAGCAACACUGGAACUGAGACACGGUCCAGACACCUACGGGUGGCAGCAGUCGAGAAUAAUUCACAAUGGACGAAAGUCUGAUGGUGCAACGCCGCGUGGAGGAUGAAGGCCCUAGGGUCGUAAACUCCUGUCAUUUGAGAGUAAGACCUGGCGGUUAAUAGCCGACAGGGUUGAUAGUAUCAAAAGAGGAAGGGACGGCUAACUUCGUGCCAGCAGCCGCGGUAAUACGAAGGUCCCGAGCGUUGUUCGGAAUCACUGGGCGUAAAGGGAGCGUAGGCGGUUAGGUAAGUCAGAUGUGAAAUCCCAGGGCUCAACCCUGGAACUGCAUCCGAUACUGCCUGACUUGAGUAAUGGAGGGGUAACUGGAAUUCUCGGUGUAGCAGUGAAAUGCGUAGAUAUCGAGAGGAACACUCGUGGCGAAGGCGAGUUACUGGACAUUUACUGACGCUGAGAUACGAAGGCUAGGGUAGCGAAAGGGAUUAGAUACCCCUGUAGUCCUAGCAGUAAACGGUGUGCGCUUGGUG
RNAcentral lists this ribosomal RNA (818 nucleotides) under marine sediment metagenome. Its description in RNAcentral is "bacterial SSU rRNA". It matches the Rfam family "Bacterial small subunit ribosomal RNA", at positions 8 to 822 of the family's 1533-position model. The record is from RNAcentral.